RNAcentral lists this ribosomal RNA (2115 nucleotides) under Escherichia coli. RNAcentral's name for it is "bacterial LSU rRNA". It matches the Rfam family "Bacterial large subunit ribosomal RNA", at positions 1 to 2141 of the family's 2925-position model. The record is from RNAcentral. Lineage: Bacteria; Pseudomonadati; Pseudomonadota; Gammaproteobacteria; Enterobacterales; Enterobacteriaceae.
UUAAGCGACUAAGCGUACACGGUGGAUGCCCUGGCAGUCAGAGGCGAUGAAGGACGUGCUAAUCUGCGAUAAGCGUCGGUAAGGUGAUAUGAACCGUUAUAACCGGCGAUUUCCGAAUGGGGAAACCCAGUGUGUUUCGACACACUAUCAUUAACUGAAUCCAUAGGUUAAUGAGGCGAACCGGGGGAACUGAAACAUCUAAGUACCCCGAGGAAAAGAAAUCAACCGAGAUUCCCCCAGUAGCGGCGAGCGAACGGGGAGGAGCCCAGAGCCUGAAUCAGUGUGUGUGUUAGUGGAAGCGUCUGGAAAGGCGCGCGAUACAGGGUGACAGCCCCGUACACAAAAAUGCACAUGCUGUGAGCUCGAUGAGUAGGGCGGGACACGUGGUAUCCUGUCUGAAUAUGGGGGGACCAUCCUCCAAGGCUAAAUACUCCUGACUGACCGAUAGUGAACCAGUACCGUGAGGGAAAGGCGAAAAGAACCCCGGCGAGGGGAGUGAAAAAGAACCUGAAACCGUGUACGUACAAGCAGUGGGAGCACGCUUCGGCGUGUGACUGCGUACCUUUUGUAUAAUGGGUCAGCGACUUAUAUUCUGUAGCAAGGUUAACCGAAUAGGGGAGCCGAAGGGAAACCGAGUCUUAACUGGGCGUUAAGUUGCAGGGUAUAGACCCGAAACCCGGUGAUCUAGCCAUGGGCAGGUUGAAGGUUGGGUAACACUAACUGGAGGACCGAACCGACUAAUGUUGAAAAAUUAGCGGAUGACUUGUGGCUGGGGGUGAAAGGCCAAUCAAACCGGGAGAUAGCUGGUUCUCCCCGAAAGCUAUUUAGGUAGCGCCUCGUGAAUUCAUCUCCGGGGGUAGAGCACUGUUUCGGCAAGGGGGUCAUCCCGACUUACCAACCCGAUGCAAACUGCGAAUACCGGAGAAUGUUAUCACGGGAGACACACGGCGGGUGCUAACGUCCGUCGUGAAGAGGGAAACAACCCAGACCGCCAGCUAAGGUCCCAAAGUCAUGGUUAAGUGGGAAACGAUGUGGGAAGGCCCAGACAGCCAGGAUGUUGGCUUAGAAGCAGCCAUCAUUUAAAGAAAGCGUAAUAGCUCACUGGUCGAGUCGGCCUGCGCGGAAGAUGUAACGGGGCUAAACCAUGCACCGAAGCUGCGGCAGCGACGCUGAUGCGUUGUUGGGUAGGGGAGCGUUCUGUAAGCCUGUGAAGGUGUGCUGUGAGGCAUGCUGGAGGUAUCAGAAGUGCGAAUGCUGACAUAAGUAACGAUAAAGCGGGUGAAAAGCCCGCUCGCCGGAAGACCAAGGGUUCCUGUCCAACGUUAAUCGGGGCAGGGUGAGUCGACCCCUAAGGCGAGGCCGAAAGGCGUAGUCGAUGGGAAACAGGUUAAUAUUCCUGUACUUGGUGUUACUGCGAAGGGGGGACGGAGAAGGCUAUGUUGGCCGGGCGACGGUUGUCCCGGUUUAAGCGUGUAGGCUGGUUUUCCAGGCAAAUCCGGAAAAUCAAGGCUGAGGCGUGAUGACGAGGCACUACGGUGCUGAAGCAACAAAUGCCCUGCUUCCAGGAAAAGCCUCUAAGCAUCAGGUAACAUCAAAUCGUACCCCAAACCGACACAGGUGGUCAGGUAGAGAAUACCAAGGCGCUUGAGAGAACUCGGGUGAAGGAACUAGGCAAAAUGGUGCCGUAACUUCGGGAGAAGGCACGCUGAUAUGUAGGUGAAGUCCCUUGCGGAUGGAGCUGAAAUCAGUCGAAGAUACCAGCUGGCUGCAACUGUUUAUUAAAAACACAGCACUGUGCAAACACGAAAGUGGACGUAUACGGUGUGACGCCUGCCCGGUGCCGGAAGGUUAAUUGAUGGGGUUAGCGGUAACGCGAAGCUCUUGAUCGAAGCCCCGGUAAACGGCGGCCGUAACUAUAACGGUCCUAAGGUAGCGAAAUUCCUUGUCGGGUAAGUUCCGACCUGCACGAAUGGCGUAAUGAUGGCCAGGCUGUCUCCACCCGAGACUCAGUGAAAUUGAACUCGCUGUGAAGAUGCAGUGUACCCGCGGCAAGACGGAAAGACCCCGUGAACCUUUACUAUAGCUUGACACUGAACAUUGAGCCUUGAUGUGUAG